This 497-nucleotide ribosomal RNA is filed under the name uncultured bacterium. Its description in RNAcentral is "partial 16S ribosomal RNA". It matches the Rfam family "Bacterial small subunit ribosomal RNA", at positions 28 to 507 of the family's 1533-position model. The record is from RNAcentral.
GAUGAACGCUGGCGGCGUGCCUAAUACAUGCAAGUCGAGCGGACGAACGAGGCGCUUGCUUCUCUUACGUUAGCGGCGGACGAGUGAGUAACACGUGGCUAACCUACAUUUAAGACUAAGAUAACUUCGGGGGACCGGAGCUAGUACCGGUUAAUAUAUUGAACCGCAUGGUUCAUUAGUGCACGCCGGUUUUGCUGUCACUAGUCGAUGUAACCUCGCCGCAUUAGCUAGUUGGUACGGUAACGGCUUACCAAGGCAACGAUGCGUAGCUGACCUGAGAGGAUGAUCAGCCACACUGGAACUGAGACACGGUCCAGACUCCUACGGGAGGCAGCAGUAGGGAAUCUUCCACAAUGGGCGAAAGCCUGACGGAGCCACGCCGCGUGUGUGAAGAAGGUCUUCGGAUCGUAAAGCUCUUUUAGUUGGGAAGAACAAAAGUGUGAGAAAAUAUUGAUGUCUUGACGGUACCAAAACAGAAAGCCACGGCUAACUACGUG